This 1844-nucleotide long non-coding RNA is filed under the name Homo sapiens (human). RNAcentral's name for it is "HSALNT0298063". The record is from RNAcentral. Lineage: Eukaryota; Metazoa; Chordata; Mammalia; Primates; Hominidae.
GUCGGCGUCUGCUUUUAACCUGUGGGAGAACCCGGCGAGCUAAGCCAAACGGAGGGCGGGAGAGAGGAAGCGGCAGCUGGCGCCUCUCGGCAACUCUAACCCUCUGAUAGAGAUCGCCAAGAUUGGUAUCCAUAGAGCUUGCUGUGGUUUGAAUGUAUCCCCCAAAGUUCAUGUGUUGGAAACUAUUCUUAAUGCAAAAGUGUUAAGAGGAAACAUUUGGAAACCCCUUGGAGGAGAUCUGCCACAUGGCCUCCAGUGAACUGUAGACUCCUGCAUAGCCUUCCAAAGUUCUUCAUUUGGUGAAUAUUAUGAGAAAUGACACGUAUGACUUUCUCCCAAAUACGUGGCUUAAACCCAAAGUACAGUGAAAUCAGAACUGACCACACAGAGUAAUUGGGGCAAGGGAGUUAUUUGUGACACAAAGCCCUCAUCACUUUAUAAAAGUACUUGCUACUGAUUACAUUGAAAACCAGUCUUCCUGAGUAAAACAUGUUUUUUGUUUUGUAUCGUUUUUGUUUUUGUUUUUUUGAGACAGAGUCUCACUCUUUGACCCAGGCUGGAGUGCAGUGGUGCGAACUUGGCUCUCCGCAACCUCUGCCUUCUGGGUUCAAGCGAUUCUCUUGCCUCAGCCUCCUGAGUAGCUGGGAUUACAGGUGCCCGUCACCACGCCAGGCUAAUUUUUUUGUAUUUUUAGUAGAGGCGAGGUUUUGCCAUGUUGGCCAGGUUGAUCUUGAACUCCUGACCUCAGAUGAUCCACAUGCCUGGGCCUCCCAAAGUGCUGGGGUUAGAGGCAUUAAGGGAGGAGACCACCCCUCAUAUUGUCUUAUGCCCAAUUUCUGCCUCCAAAGAAAGAAAAAGUAAAAACUGAAAGGCAGAAAUGAAAUCCACAAGCAGACAGCCCGGUGCCACACCCUGGGCAGAUCGACCCCUGACCUAAUCGGUUAUGUUAUCGAUUACAGACAUUGGAUAGAAAAGCACUGUGAAAAUCCCUAUCCUGUUUUGUUCAGAUCGAAUUACCGGUGCAUGCAGCCCCCAGACACGUACCCUCUGCUUGCUCAAUCGAUCACGACCCUCUCACACGCACCCCCUUAGAGUUGUGAGCCCUUAAAAGGGACAGGAAUUGCUCACUCGGGGAGCUUGGCUCUUGAGACAGGAGUCUUGCCAAUGCCCCCAGCCGAAUAAACCCCUUCCUUCUUUAACUCGGAGUCUGAGGAGUUUUGUCUGCAGCUCAUCCUGCUACAUUUCUUGGUUCCCUGACCAGGAAGCGAGGUGACUGGCACAUGGUCGAGGCAGCUGCUUAGGCAGCUUAAGCAUGCCCUGUGAAACAUCCCUGUGGGGGACUCCGACCAGCCCAGGCAACGCGGAUCCUGAGAACGCUCCCGGGUAGGCAUCUGCCCCUGUGGGAUGCCUCACCAGAGCAGUGUGUGGCAGGCCCCCGUGGAGGACCAACACAGUGGCUGAACACCGGGAAGGAACAGGAUCUUGGAGUCUGGACAUCUAAAACUUGGAUCACAGGGCCCUGGACAACGUCAGUGAACAUUAUCCUGGGGUAACCCAGUCUCCUAGGUCUGGUAACAACAACAAGGGAAACAAUCCAAAGGAUUACCUUGAACUCUGGCCAGCACCGUGGGAGACUUGGACCUAGUGAAGGCCGGUGACCCGGAAGGGCCCCUUAACUCUGGCCAGCACCGUGGGAGACUUGGACCUAGUGAAGGCCGGUGACCCGGAAGGGCCCCUUAAGCUCAGUAAUGGGCCUCCACUUGCUGGGAGGUAAAGGGUAAUUCAGAAAAAGAAAGCCAAAUGCUUUGGGAGACUUAGGAGAAAAGAUGGAGGCUCUGUUUUUC